UACCUAUUUGUUGCCUCGGCGGUGCCUGUUCCGACAGCCCGCCAGAGGACCCCAAACCCUGAUUACAUUUAAGAAGUCUUCUGAGUAAACCGAUUAAAUAAAUCAAAACUUUCAACAACGGAUCUCUUGGUUCUGGCAUCGAUGAAGAACGCAGCGAAAUGCGAUAAGUAAUGUGAAUUGCAGAAUUCAGUGAAUCAUCGAAUCUUUGAACGCACAUUGCGCCCGCUAGUAUUCUGGCGGGCAUGCCUGUCCGAGCGUCAUUUCAACCCUCAAGCCCCCGGGCUUGGUGUUGGGGAUCGGCGAGCCUCCGCGCCCGCCGUCCCCUAAAUCUAGUGGCGGUCUCGCUGUAGCUUCCUCUGCGUAGUAGUACACCUCGCACUGGGAAACAGCGCGGCCACGCCGUUAAACCCCCAACUUCUGAACGUUUGACCUCGGAUCAGGUAGGAAUACCCGCUGAACUUAAGCAUAUCAAUAAGCGGAGGAACUG
RNAcentral lists this ribosomal RNA (487 nucleotides) under Ilyonectria sp. nwa_besc_241e. RNAcentral's name for it is "eukaryotic LSU rRNA". The stretch from base 107 to 260 matches the Rfam family "5.8S ribosomal RNA". Lineage: Eukaryota; Fungi; Ascomycota; Sordariomycetes; Hypocreales; Nectriaceae. The record is from RNAcentral.